Molecule: ribosomal RNA, 164 nt
Filed under: Garhadiolus hedypnois
Lineage: Eukaryota; Viridiplantae; Streptophyta; Magnoliopsida; Asterales; Asteraceae
Description: 5.8S ribosomal RNA
Rfam family: 5.8S ribosomal RNA
About the family: 5.8S ribosomal RNA (5.8S rRNA) is a component of the large subunit of the eukaryotic ribosome. It is transcribed by RNA polymerase I as part of the 45S precursor that also contains 18S and 28S rRNA. Functionally, it is thought that 5.8S rRNA may be involved in ribosome translocation.
Source: RNAcentral
UAAACGACUCUCGGCAACGGAUAUCUCGGCUCACGCAUCGAUGAAGAACGUAGCAAAAUGCGAUACUUGGUGUGAAUUGCAGAAUCCCGUGAACCAUCGAGUUUUUGAACGCAAGUUGCGCCCGAAGCCAUCCGGUUGAGGGCRCGCCUGCCUGGGCGUCACGC